This 305-nucleotide ribosomal RNA is filed under the name uncultured bacterium. RNAcentral describes it as "bacterial SSU rRNA". It matches the Rfam family "Bacterial small subunit ribosomal RNA", at positions 333 to 652 of the family's 1533-position model. The record is from RNAcentral.
GCUUACCUACGGGGCGCAGCAGUGGGGAAUAUUGGGCAAUGGAGGCAACUCUGACCCAGCAACGCCGCGUGAAUGAUGAAGGUCUUCGGAUUGUAAAGUUCUGUGAUGGGGGAUGAACACAAUGACGGUACCCCAAUAGCAAGCCACGGCUAACUACGUGCCAGCAGCCGCGGUAAUACGUAGGUGGCAAGCGUUAUCCGGAUUUACUGGGUGUAAAGGGUGCGUAGGUGGCAGGGCAAGUCAGAUGUGAAAGCCCGGGGCUCAACCCCGGUACUGCAUUUGAAACUGUCCAGCUGGAGUGCAGG